This is a non-coding RNA of Pelobates cultripes (western spadefoot toad), 302 nucleotides long. The record is from the annotation of a GenBank genome assembly. Lineage: Eukaryota; Metazoa; Chordata; Amphibia; Anura; Pelobatidae.
CGUUACAGGGGUUUUUCCAUUUUACUGGAAUGAGGAUGUUGGCUGCUGUGAGGAGAUGGGUUACAAGUCUUUUCUGUGUGUUGGUGAGGGUGUGGGGCAGCAACAGGAAUAGCAGAGUGUGUGGGGUAUGGGGAAGUUUUAUUCCUGUUACGGUCGUAAUCAUUGUCCCUAUGUUUGUCCAGUAUCUUUGGGUUUGAGGGCAAUGCCACCAGAUGUGGACCAGGGACGCACCUGUUUGGGCACAUUUCCAGCAAACAUCUGGGUGUUGGGGAAUAACGUGUGUAGUUUAGCUGGGGAGUAGU